UACGGAGGGUGCAAGCGUUAUCCGGAUUCACUGGGUUUAAAGGGUGCGUAGGCGGGCAGGUAAGUCAGUGGUGAAAUCUCUAAGCUUAACUUGGAAAUUGCCAUUGAUACUAUCUAUCUUGAAUAUUGUGGAGGUUAGCGGAAUAUGUCAUGUAGCGGUGAAAUGCUUAGAUAUGACAUAGAACACCGAUUGCGAAGGCAGCUAACUACGCAUAUAUUGACGCUGAGGCACGAAAGCGUGGGGAUCAAACAGG
This 253-nucleotide ribosomal RNA is filed under the name uncultured bacterium. Its description in RNAcentral is "partial 16S ribosomal RNA". It matches the Rfam family "Bacterial small subunit ribosomal RNA", at positions 524 to 776 of the family's 1533-position model. The record is from RNAcentral.